This 819-nucleotide ribosomal RNA is filed under the name uncultured bacterium. Its description in RNAcentral is "bacterial SSU rRNA". It matches the Rfam family "Bacterial small subunit ribosomal RNA", at positions 8 to 795 of the family's 1533-position model. The record is from RNAcentral.
AGAGUUUGAUCCUGGCUCAGGACGAACGCUGGCGGCGUGCCUAAUACAUGCAAGUCGAACGAGAAUUUCUUACACCGAGUGCUUGCACUCACCGUAAGAAAUUUGAGUGGCGGACGGGUGAGUAACACGUGGGUAACCUGCCCAAAAGAAGGGGAUAACAUUUGGAAACAAAUGCUAAUACCGUAUAACCAUGAUGACCGCAUGGUCAUUAUGUAAAAGGUGGUUUUGCUAUCGCUUUUGGAUGGACCCGCGGCGUAUUAACUAGUUGGUAGGGUAACGGCCUACCAAGGUGAUGAUACGUAGCCGAGUUGAGAGACUGAUCGGCCACAAUGGGACUGAGACACGGCCCAUACUCCUACGGGAGGCAGCAGUAGGGAAUCUUCCACAAUGGACGCAAGUCUGAUGGAGCAACGCCGCGUGAGUGAAGAAGGUCUUCGGAUCGUAAAACUCUGUUGUUAGAGAAGAACACGAGUGAGAGUAACUGUUCAUUCGAUGACGGUAUCUAACCAGCAAGUCACGGCUAACUACGUGCCAGCAGCCGCGGUAAUACGUAGGUGGCAAGCGUUGUCCGGAUUUAUUGGGCGUAAAGGGAACGCAGGCGGUCUUUUAAGUCUGAUGUGAAAGCCUUCGGCUUAACCGGAGUAGUGUAUUGGAAACUGGAAGACUUGAGUGCAGAAGAGGAGAGUGGAACUCCAUGUGUAGCGGUGAAAUGCGUAGAUAUAUGGAAGAACACCAGUGGCGAAAGCGGCUCUCUGGUCUGUAACUGACGCUGAGGUUCGAAAGCGUGGGUAGCAAACAGGAUUAGAUACCCUGGUAGUC